This 465-nucleotide ribosomal RNA is filed under the name Vreelandella stevensii. RNAcentral describes it as "partial 16S ribosomal RNA". It matches the Rfam family "Bacterial small subunit ribosomal RNA", at positions 338 to 795 of the family's 1533-position model. The record is from RNAcentral. Lineage: Bacteria; Pseudomonadati; Pseudomonadota; Gammaproteobacteria; Oceanospirillales; Halomonadaceae.
CCUACGGGUGGCAGCAGUGGGGAAUAUUGGACAAUGGGCGAAAGCCUGAUCCAGCCAUGCCGCGUGUGUGAAGAAGGCCUUCGGGUUGUAAAGCACUUUCAGUGGGGAAGAAAGCCUUGGGGCUAAUACCCUCGAGGAAGGACAUCACCCACAGAAGAAGCACCGGCUAACUCCGUGCCAGCAGCCGCGGUAAUACGGAGGGUGCGAGCGUUAAUCGGAAUUACUGGGCGUAAAGCGCGCGUAGGCGGUCUGAUAAGCCGGUUGUGAAAGCCCCGGGCUCAACCUGGGAACGGCAUCCGGAACUGUCAGGCUAGAGUGCAGGAGAGGAAGGUAGAAUUCCCGGUGUAGCGGUGAAAGGCGUAGAGAUCGGGAGGAAUACCAGUGGCGAAGGCGGCCUUCUGGACUGACACUGACGCUGAGGUGCGAAAGCGUGGGUAGCAAACAGGAUUAGAUACCCCAGUAGUC